AAAAAUUGUGGCAUCAGAAUCUGCCGGCCUCCUCCUCCCCCCCAUCUCUCGCUCCCCCUCUCUCUGGCUCGGCUCAUGGCAUGGCGGCGGCGGCCAUCUCCCGUCCCCUCGCCGGCCGCGGGAGUCAGCGGCUUCCCGCCCCCGGUUUGAGCGGCGGCCCCUUCCUUAUCCACCAUCACGCCGCCACUCAGCAGCGACUGGGAGGCCUCCACCUUGAGCUCACGCCGGCCCUGCUGCCGGUCGGCGGUGGCCGACCUCGACCUGCGCGGAAGGGAGACGGCCCGGGGACAGUCCAGGGUGCGUGGGCGAGGGGAUGAGGCGCUGCGGACGACAGCGCGGUCGUGCCAUCCCCACCCUCCCGUCGACUGCCGGCGGCGCCCGUGUCCGCUGUGCGUGCUCCCGUCCCCCGCUGCCGAGGGACGCGUCUUCCUUGCUCCGGCGUGGGCUGUUGUAAGGGUCCCCAGGCAUGGACGAAUCCUCGCGGUCGAGCGCGCCGACAGCUCAACAAUUUCACCAUCGUCCGUCCGAGUACUUGGUGAUACUACUGUGUAAUGUGGCUUAGGUCACCAAAGAUUAGUGGCAGACUAGAUCUAUGGUAAUUAAGAAAACAUUAAAGGGCUUGAAUAUUUGACAAGGUAUUUUGGAGACCUUUAUCUGAAGAAAGAAUGAAGGGGUAGUAAUAGCCUGCUCUUUCCAGCUAUCCAAGGAUAGGAUUGAGCUACAAUUUGUAACGAGUUAUCUUGGUAAGUAUUGUGUAGUUAGACUCAUUUGUAUUAUAUAUAGAUAAGAGUGCUAUGAGUUUGCCAUUAGUGUAAAGACCAGAGGUGGCCUGCCUUUUCUAGCUAUCCCACUGACAUAUCAUGUACGUUGUGCUGAAAUGCAGAUAGAUAAUUUGUAUGCCCUGCCCUACUGAUCUAAAAAAAUACCUGAUUUUAUACUAAAUUAUCUAAGGUGCAUAUUGCAUUGUUAGGAAGCUAUGUUGUAUCCUUCUUGGCUGUUGUAAAGUUGAUUAUGCACAUUUUAUGUUACAAAAAAAAAAAGAUUAUGCAGAUUUUGCCACCAUCAGGUUAAUGCUAUAUGCAGUUUAUAUCCAUGUCCUAUUUUAAACAUUCCUGAUCAUUUUAUACAUGUAAUACUUACACACUUCAAGAAAGAAAAAAACCUGUUAAGUACUGAUUUUUCACUGAAUCGGUGACUGCCCUCGUGUGGUGGAUUCAUCAUUGCACCACAAUUGUUCUGAAAGUGAGGUUCUCAAGUGCCUACACAUUGGAUUAUUAUGUGUACAAGAAAAUCCAGGUGAUAGACCCGGCAUGUCCAAUGUGAUCCUGAUGCUUGUUGGAAGGGUCUGGUUCAUGCAACAUCAGUGCCCUUUGGGUUUUCCUUCCACCAGGGAUGGUUGUGAAUCAGCAGAAAUUCCACACCCUCAAGGUCAACCGAUGCAUCUAGAAUACAUAUAUGAAGCAUAUAUAUUAAUAUUUUAAUCAACUCGGCACCUGAAGCUAUUCUCUUUAUUUCUGCAUCUAUCUUGAGCUAACUUGGAUAUGGUACAUUGUCUUUUUUGCUAUCUGAACCUCACAACAGAACGUUAUCUCACUAUUAUGAUGGAUGCCAUAUUUGUUACAUUAGCCUAUGAAAUGUUCAGAAUGUGUCCGCAUAUUGGGGUGGGGGUGGGAUAUACAUAUUGUGUCCGCAUAUGAUACGUUGUUUUCUAGUUGAAUAACAUAUGUUUCGUUUUUUUUACAUAAACUCAUAACUAUGGUAUACAUCCCUAAAAUAUAUAAGCAUGAAAGUUCUUGUAUUAUUGCCAGUUGUACAGUAAAUACCCUUUUUGUUAUCUGCUAUGUGGUUGGCACAAUAUAGCCUUAAUAUUAUUCCCCUUGGGUGUCUAAACGAGGGCAACCAAUUAAUAAAUACCUACGGUCUGUUAGAGACGCAGGUUGCCAUAUUUCACAAAAAUAAAACAUAAUUUCAUUGUUGCCUAUUCUGCUGUGAACUGCACAAUCAGAUUUUGACAUGCACAUGUUAAUUGCAUGGUAUGUUCAUGAAUAUUGAGUGAUCAUGUCAGGUGUGAUGAUCAUGUAAUGCUCAUGAGAAUGUUAGUCCUCAUGUAGUGAACUUGCUUAUCUGCUUUAAAAACUCCCUCUGAACUGCUCUAUGUUCUCAUAUAUGAGCUUAUUUCUUUGCCCCUGUAAUGUUCUUUGUUGAUUCCUGUCAUGUUGUGUUCAUGUAUGGGUUUUCUUAUUUCCAGUCAGUUUCCUGUAUAUAUUGCUGGAGCUGUUCAUCCCAUUUAACAGUUUUCUUGCUAGAGUUGUUCUAAAAUUGGUAUGGUGUUUAUUGUUCCUUUCUAUUUUGCUGAAGUAGUUAAUAUGCACAGAUCAGUUCAAAUGAUAGCAAAAAGCACAGCUCAAUUCAUUCCCUUCCGUAGUGCGCAGCACAAUACAUCUCAUUCAUGCCAAUUUCCUUACAAGCACACAACACAGCCCUGUUCAAUUUCAUACAAGAAAAGCACUGGAAAUUAACAUUAAACCCAUUACGGGUCGCGCAAAUGGCGCAUUCUCGCUCGUUCCACGUCAUCGCAGGUAGGACAAAAGAAACACAUUGGUGAUUGGGUGUGAGAGGAAAAAGGAAAUCAGGGGGUCACACCAGAAUCGAUUUCUUUUCUCUUCCUCCACACGCAGCCUUCUCCCCUCUCCUCUCCCCCAAAACCGCCCGCCGCCGCCGCUGCCGCCCGCGAUUCAACCUGCCCAGCUCCGCCCGCAACUCAGCCCGUCCUUCUCUGCCCGCAUCUCCAUGCUGCUGGUUCCGCUACACGCCACCGUCUCCACUCUGCUUUGCCCAUGGCGGCUACCAUGUCUGCUCCUGUGACGUGCCGAUAUGGCGACACCGUGGCCGGGUGUGAUCUGGAGAACCUGCGGACGGUGGUGCACGGUCUGGGCGGCGGCUACCUGCGCGGUUCCAGUGCUGCACCGGCACCUCGUUCAUCCAUCGCACAGAUCCAAGGCGGGCGACGCGGAGAUGGUCGAUGGGGAGAUGCUCUGCUUGAGUUAGCCAAGGCGUCGGGGACGAAAUCUGGACCGGUGGGUGUGCCUUCUCUGCCCCUUCUCCUCCCCGUUGCUCUACUUUUCCCCCUGAUUCAUUUAUUCCUUUUUUUCUCUUUGUGAUUUGACUAAGCCGUCUGCUUGAGUGCUCCAGUUUUUAUCUGUAGGUGGUAAUCUUGCUGCAAGUUCCAGGCUGGGUUCCUUUCUCUCCAGGGAAGUUGCCUCCCGGGGUCGAGAGGAGGCAGAGGAGACCUUGGGGAAAUCGAGCAUCUUGGCAGAGCGAUGCCCCCAUCCCAUUCCCCUUUCUUUCUCAGUGUGCUUCUCCAUGGACAACAUCGCCACGGACAGAUCGACGAUUCAAGCCCUAGAAGAUGCUAAAUCGUGACAGCAGCUGACCAAAUUAGUCGGCGUAUUUUGAUGUUAGCAUGCCCCCUGAAGGACUGCAGGAUACCAGUAUAUGAUUUUCCUUGUCUAAGCUAAUGCUGCUUGAUCUUUCCCCUGUUUACACUUUAACAUCUUUCCUUUGUAUUUAUUUCCUAGACUUUGGUGUCAAACAUGGUCUACACUGACGAUGAUGUUACACUUGUUGAUGUUCCAUGCUCUUUGUUACAAGAGGUAAAAGAUAGGAAUCAACAAAAAAACGACAUUUUGGCUUACUACUAUAUUUCCAUGGCAUAUGCCCGAUGUCAGGCCUCUUAUUAAGUGCUUCCGACUUACUUUAUUGUAUUUUAGUUGCUCGUGAUUCUGCCUUGUCCUAGAUAGCAAACAAUGGAAAUUAUACGAAUUUUGAGAUUUAGUUCAUGUUCAUCACUUUCCUAUCCUUGGUACAACAUUACAUGAAAUGAUACUCAGUUGCCGUGUGUAAAAAAGUUCAUUUCAAAUUUGAGAAAAAUUAAGGGGUAUCUCACGACGAAUGAUUGCUUUAUGAUCCUUGUAUUUCUCGUGAUUUAAUUAUGUGCUUAUAUUCUGCACCUGAAGCUUCUCUAUGUAACUGAUUACCUGGUCUAUGUCUAAUUAUUUGCUAGCUAGCUACUUCUCUUGCUGUCAAUUUCCUUUGCUUUACGUUGUCAUUUUUUUUAAUAUUAAUUAUACAUGUCAAGGGAAUAUGUAGUAUACAAGUUUUACAUGCAGAUCAUCUUAAUGUUAUAUCAUGCAUUUAUGUGCUUUGGUUUUCGUUUCAGCAAAGAAGAAGAAAUAUUCAGUUCUCCAUGUGGAUUUAAACAAAUACAAUUGACUAGUCCCUCCUUUUAAAUUUGUUGCUUUGGUCUUCUACUAGGUUUGUAGAUGGGAUAGGUUCAAGGUUUUAAGAUGGGCUAGGUUUCAUCUAGCUUGUGCCAUCGACUUGGUCUCAACCGUCUUAGGGCAAACCACCGCUUUAGGGAGGCGGCGGCCCCUUUGAUGGCCUCACGACUCGACUCAACGAUCGGGAUCGAUCAUCGGUGGUGACGGCGAAGGUGGUACGGAGUCUAAACCGUGGGAGAGACCAUAAAACUGAGAAGGCAAAGUUGGGAAGCUCCUACAAAGGUAAAUGGUUUGGUACAUGCAUAUAGAUGCUUGAUCGUUUGUUGUGAUUUGUGAAAUACUGUGAAAUAGAGGAAUAAGGUGCCAUUGAGAUUUGUUUGUUGUGAAAGGUACAAUUAUUAUUCUAGAUUUGCACAGAUACCAUCCAUUAUUUACCAAUGUGUUCACUUAUGUACUGCUGUUACCUAUGGCAUUAAGCCAUUAUUAUUACUCCCUCUGUAAAGAAAUAUAAAAGCGUGAUGAUUUAGUCGAAAA
Molecule: RNA transcript, 4814 nt
Organism: Triticum dicoccoides
Lineage: Eukaryota; Viridiplantae; Streptophyta; Magnoliopsida; Poales; Poaceae
Exons: 5
Source: RefSeq, a predicted model, not a curated record